AACGCACCUUGCGCUCCUUGGUAUUCCGAGGAGCAUGCCUGUUUGAGUGUCAUUAAUAUAUCAAUCUCUUCAGCUUUUGGCUUGUUGAGUGUUGGAUGUGGGGGUUUUUUUUGCUGGUCUUCUCAGAUCAGCUCCCCUGAAAUGCAUUAGCAGAACAAUUUGUGGAUCGUUCAUUGGUGUGAUAACUAUCUACGCUAUUGACGCGAAGCAGUUCAGCUUCUAACAGUCCAUUGACUUGGACAAAUUUCAUUAAUGUGACCUCAAAUCAGGUAGGACUACCCGCUGAACUUAA
Molecule: unclassified non-coding RNA, 292 nt
Filed under: Inocybe sp.
Lineage: Eukaryota; Fungi; Basidiomycota; Agaricomycetes; Agaricales; Inocybaceae
Also listed under: 1 other name
Description: partial contains 5.8S ribosomal RNA, internal transcribed spacer 2, and large subunit ribosomal RNA
Rfam family: 5.8S ribosomal RNA (bases 1-52)
Source: RNAcentral